CUGAUGAAAUAGGGAUUAUAUCGGACUCACAGGGUGGAUUCCGCAAGGGAUACUCUGUCCAUGAUAACAUGUUUGUUUUACAUUCUAUAAUUACAUUAUAUUUAUCUGCCGGAAAGAAAUUGUUCUGUGCAUUUGUGGAUUUUAAACGGGCGUUUGAUACCGUUUGGAGGGCUGGGCUUUUCCAAAAACUUAUAAAAAAUAACAUCAGAGGGAAAAUGUUUACAUUGAUACAAAAUAUGUACACUGAUAUUA
This 252-nucleotide long non-coding RNA is filed under the name Mytilus galloprovincialis (Mediterranean mussel). Lineage: Eukaryota; Metazoa; Mollusca; Bivalvia; Mytilida; Mytilidae. The record is from RNAcentral.